UACGUAGGGUCCGAGCGUUGUCCGGAAUUAUUGGGCGUAAAGGGCUCGUAGGCGGUCCGUCACGUCGGGAGUGAAAACUCGGAGCUCAACUCCGAGCCUGCUUCCGAUACGGGCAGACUAGAGGUAGGCAGGGGAGAGCGGAAUUCCUGGUGUAGCGGUGAAAUGCGCAGAUAUCAGGAGGAACACCGGUGGCGAAGGCGGAUCUCUGGGCAGUUGCUGACGCUGAUGCGCGACAGCGUGGGGAGCAAACAGG
RNAcentral lists this ribosomal RNA (253 nucleotides) under uncultured bacterium. RNAcentral's name for it is "partial 16S ribosomal RNA". It matches the Rfam family "Bacterial small subunit ribosomal RNA", at positions 524 to 776 of the family's 1533-position model. The record is from RNAcentral.